AGAGUUUGAUCUGGCUCAGAAUCAACGCUGGCGGCGUGCUAACACAUGCAAGUCGAACGAGAAAGCAGGAGCAAUCUUGUGAGUAAAGUGGCGUACGGGUGAGUAACACGUGGAUCAUCUACCCUCUUGUGGGGGAUAACUCUGGAAACCGGAGCUAAUCCGCAUAAGUCCGAGAGGAGAAAGCAGCAAUGCGCAGGAGGAGGAGUCCGCGGCCGAUUAGCUAGUUGGUAGGGUAAAACCUACCAAGGCUACGAUCGGUAGCCGGCCUGAGAGGGCACACGGCCACACUGGCACUGAAACACGGGCCAGACUCCUACGGGAGGCAGCAGUGGGGAAUCUUGCACAAUGGGGGCAACCCUGAUGCAGCGACGCCGCGUGAGCGAUGAAGCCUUCGGGGUGUAAAGCUCUUUCGGCAGGGAAGAUUAUGACGGUACCUGCAGAAGCAGCUGCGGCUAACUACGUGCCAGCAGCCGCGGUAAUACGUAGGCAGCGAGCGUUGUUCGGAGUUACUGGGCGUAAAGGGUGUGUAGGCGGUCUUCUAAGUCUGGUGUGAAAUCUCCCGGCUCGACUGGGAGGGUGCGCCGGAAACUGGGAGGCUAGAGUGCGGGAUGGGAGAGUGGAAUUCCUGGUGUAGCGGUGAAAUGCGUAGAUAUCAGGAGGAACACCUGUGGUGUAGACGGCUCUCUGGACCGCAACUGACGCUGAGACACGAAAGCGUGGGUAGCAAACAGGAUUAGAUACCCUAGUAGUCC
Molecule: ribosomal RNA, 752 nt
Filed under: uncultured bacterium
Lineage: Bacteria
Description: bacterial SSU rRNA
Rfam family: Bacterial small subunit ribosomal RNA
Source: RNAcentral